This 460-nucleotide ribosomal RNA is filed under the name uncultured bacterium. RNAcentral's name for it is "partial 16S ribosomal RNA". It matches the Rfam family "Bacterial small subunit ribosomal RNA", at positions 338 to 795 of the family's 1533-position model. The record is from RNAcentral.
CCUACGGGGUGCAGCAGUGAGGAAUAUUGGUCAAUGGCCGUAAGGCUGAACCAGCCAAGCCGCGUGAAGGAAGAAGGUUCUAUGGUUUGUAAACUUCUUUUAUAGGGGAAUAAAGGUAUCCACGUGUGGCUAUUUGCAUGUACCUUAUGAAUAAGCAUCGGCUAACUCCGUGCCAGCAGCCGCGGUAAUACGGAGGAUGCGAGCGUUAUCCGGAUUUAUUGGGUUUAAAGGGUGCGUAGGUUGAUUUUUAAGUCAGCGGUGAAAGUUUGUGGCUCAACCAUAAAAUUGCCGUUGAAACUGGAAGACUUGAGUGUGGUUGAGGUAGGCGGAAUGCGUGGUGUAGCGGUGAAAUGCAUAGAUAUCACGCAGAACUCCGAUUGCGAAGGCAGCUUACUAGGCAAUAACUGACACUGAGGCACGAAAGCGUGGGGAUCAAACAGGAUUAGAUACCCGAGUAGUC